AGUGGCGGACGGGUGAGUAACGCGUGAGCACCUGCCUUUCAGAGGGGGAUAACAUUUGGAAACAGAUGCUAAUACCGCAUAACAGUACCGCGAUACAGUACAAAGAGCAAUCGCUGAAAGAUGGGCUCGCGUCCGAUUAGAUAGUUGGUGAGGUAACGGCCCACCUAGUCUUCGAUGGAUAGGGGUUCUGAGAGGAAGGUCCCCCACAUUGGAACUGAGACACGGUCCAAACUCAUACGGGAGGCAGCAGUGAGGAAUAUUGGUCAAUGGGCGAGAGCCUGAACCAGCCAAGUAGCGUGAAGGAUGACUGCCCUUGGGUUGUAAACUUCUUUUAUAAAGGAAUAAAGUCGGGUAUGCAUACCCGUUUGCAUGUACUUUAUGAAUAAGGAUCGGCUAACUCCGUGCCAGCAGCCGCGGUAAUACGGAGGAUCCGAGCGUUAUCCGGAUUUAUUGGGUUUAAAGGGAGCGUAGAUGGAUGUUUAAGUCAGUUGUGAAAGUUUGCGGCUCAACCGUAAAAUUGCAGUUGAUACUGGAUAUCUUGAGUGCAGUUGAGGCAGGCGGAAUUCGUGGUGUAGCGGUGAAAUGCUUAGAUAUCACGAAGAACUCCGAUUGCGAAGGCAGCCUGCUAAGCUGCAACUGACAUUGAGGCUCGAAAGUGUGGGUAUCAAACAGGAUUAGAUACCCUGGUAGUCCACACGGUAAACGAUG
This 708-nucleotide ribosomal RNA is filed under the name uncultured bacterium. RNAcentral describes it as "bacterial SSU rRNA". It matches the Rfam family "Bacterial small subunit ribosomal RNA", at positions 94 to 811 of the family's 1533-position model. The record is from RNAcentral.